AGAGUACCGUGAGGGAAAGGUGAAAAGAACCCUGAGCAAGGGAGUGAAAGAGAAUUUGAAACCGUGUGCUUACAAGCGGUAGGAGCCCUUAGGGGUGACUGCGUGGAUUUUGGUUAAUCAUCCUGCGAGUUAUGAUGUGUGGCGAGGUUAAGUGUAAGCGGAGCCGAAGGGAAACCGAGUCUUAAUAGGGCGAGAGUCGCAUGUCAUAGACGCGAAACCUAGUGAUCUAGGCCUGUCCAGGCUGAAGCUGAGGUAAGACUCAGUGGAGGGCCGAACUCACCGCCGUUGAAAAGUUGGGAGAUGAGAUAGGUCUAGGGGUGAAAAGCCAAUCGAACUAGGAGAUAGCUCGUUCUCUCCGAAAUGCAUUUAGGUGCAGCCUUGGUUGAAGAUAUGCGGGGGUAGAGCACUGUAUGGCCUAGGGGGCGUAUAGCUUACCGAAGUCAAGCAAACUGCGAAUACCGUAUAUUGUUUACCAGGAGUGAGUCUACGGAUGACAAGGUCCGUGGACGAGAGGGGAACAGCCCGGACCGCCGGCUAAGGUCCCAAAUCAUGUCUAAGUGGGAAAGGAGGUGGAUAUUCACAGACAACCAGGAGGUUGGCUUAGAAGCAGCCAUACCUUGAAAGAGUGCGUAAUAGCUCACUGGUCGAGAGUAUCUGCGCCGAAGAUAUAACGGGGCUAAGACAUGAACCGAAGCCGCGGAAGCGUGGUAACACGUUUGGUAGGAGAGCGUUCUGUAGGCCGUAGAAGGUGUCCUGAAAGGGAUGCUGGAGGUAUCAGAAGUGAGAAUGCAGGAAUGAGUAGCGAGAAGGAGGGCGAGAAUCCCUCCGGCCGGAAGUCCAAGGUUUCCAGGGGAAGGUUUGUCCGCCCUGGGGGAGUCGGGACCUAAGCAUAAGCAGAGCUGCGAAGGCGAAUGGAAAACAGGUUAAUAUUCCUGUACCGCUGUGUACUGACUGAGAGAUGGAGUGACGCAGGAAGGUAUGCGGGAAGGCUGACGGAAUAGCCUUUCUAAGGGUGAAACGUGGACAUAUAGGCAAAUCCGUAUGUUUAGACGUGAGGCCUGACGGGUAAGUGCCAUAGGGCAUAAGCCGCAGAUCCUACACUGCCGGGAAAAACUUCUAUUUAGGGAAGCAGCGCCCGUACUGUAAACCGACACAGGUGGACAGAGUGAGAAACUUAAGGCCGACAGGACAACUCUGGCUAAGGAACUCUGCAAAAUGGCCCCGUAACUUAGGGAGAAGGGGUGCCCGUGCUACCUGAAGGGGGAGACACCCGGAGGGGAAGCGGGCCGCAGUGAAGAGUCCCAAGCAACUGUUUACCAAAAACACAGGUCUAUGCUAAGCCGGAAGGCGACGUAUAUGGGCUGACACCUGCCCAGUGCCGGAAGGUUAAGAGGAGGAUUGAGAGAUUCGAAUUGAAGCCCCGGUGAACGGCGGCCGUAACUAUAACGGUCCUAAGGUAGCGAAAUUCCUUGUCGGGUAAGUUCCGACCUGCACGAAUGGUGAAAUGAUUUGGGAGCUGUCUUGGCCGGAGACCUGGUGAAGUUGUAAUGCCGGUGAAGAUACCGGUUACCUGCAGUAGGACGGAAAGACCCCGUGGAGCUUUACUGUAGCCUGGCAUUGGGUUUCGGCAAUGUGUGUAUAGGAUAGCUGGGAGGCUAAGAAGAUAUGGCGUCAGCUGUAUUGGAGCCGCUGUUGGAAUACCAGCCACGCAUUGUUGGGAUUCUAAUCUCAUAAGAUGGGAGACAGUGCUAGGUGGGCAGUUUGACUGGGGCGGUCGCCUCCAAAAGAGUAACGGAGGCGUUCAAAGGUUCCCUCAGGCUGGAUGGAAAUCAGCCGGAGAGUGCAAACGCAUAAGGGAGCUUGACUGCGAGACUGACGGGUCGAGCAGGCACGAAAGUGGGAGUUAGUGAUCCGGCGGUUCUGAAUGGAAAGGCCGUCGCUCAACGGAUAAAAGCUACCCCGGGGAUAACAGGCUGAUACUUCCCAAGAGUCCAUAUCGACGGAAGUGUUUGGCACCUCGAUGUCGGCUCGUCUCAUCCUGGGGCUGGAGAAGGUCCCAAGGGUUGGGCUGUUCGCCCAUUAAAGAGGCACGCGAGCUGGGUUCAGAACGUCGUGAGACAGUUCGGUCCCUAUCCA
RNAcentral lists this ribosomal RNA (2136 nucleotides) under human oral metagenome. RNAcentral describes it as "bacterial LSU rRNA". It matches the Rfam family "Bacterial large subunit ribosomal RNA", at positions 495 to 2644 of the family's 2925-position model. The record is from RNAcentral.